This is a non-coding RNA of Paramormyrops kingsleyae, 418 nucleotides long. NCBI's taxonomy places the organism in Eukaryota, Metazoa, Chordata, Actinopteri, Osteoglossiformes, Mormyridae. The record is from RefSeq and is a predicted model, not a curated record.
GGUGAACUGCAGGGGUGAUGAGCUCCACCUGUGGGACUGUCCUCACUCUCUUCAGGAGCAGAGGAGCUGCAGCCACAAGGAGGAUGCUGGUGUUACCUGUGCAGGUUCAUCGCUGCUUAAGGCCACUACAGGCAUUCCAGCAACAUCCACAACAACAAAAAAAGUUCCUUCUCCAGUUGUACCCUCCCAAAAAGACCCAUCCAUUCCUUUUGUGGUCUUCCUGGUACUGGGAGCUCUUCUCUUCUUGCUGCUGGUGAUAACAGCUGUCCAGUUGUACCAGAAUAAAGUGCUGAAGAGAGCUCUGUACCAGGAGGGUCUCACCCCUCUGCACGAGGCCAUUUAUGAGGAGAUAGAGUACAAUCUGACCCGGGGGGAGACCUACAGAGCCCCUCGCAAGGGAAGUGUCCUCUCUGAGGAG